UACAGAGGGUGCGAGCGUUAAUCGGAAUUACUGGGCGUAAAGCGUGCGUAGCCGGUUUUGUAAGUCGGAUGUGAAAUCCCCGGGCUCAACCUGGGAAUUGCAUUCGAGACUGCAAGGCUUGGGUGCGGAAGAGGGAAGCGGAAUUUCCGGUGUAGCGGUGAAAUGCGUAGAUAUCGGAAGGAACACCAGUGGCGAAAGCGGCUUCCUGGUCCGACACCGACGUUCAGGCACGAAAGCGUGGGGAGCAAACAGG
Molecule: ribosomal RNA, 253 nt
Filed under: uncultured bacterium
Lineage: Bacteria
Description: partial 16S ribosomal RNA
Rfam family: Bacterial small subunit ribosomal RNA
Source: RNAcentral